CCUUGUUACGACUUCACCCCAGUCACGAACCCUGCCGUGGUAAUCGCCCUCCUUGCGGUUAGGCUAACUACUUCUGGCAGAACCCGCUCCCAUGGUGUGACGGGCGGUGUGUACAAGACCCGGGAACGUAUUCACCGCGGCAAGCUGAUCCGCGAUUACUAGCGAUUCCGACUUCACGCAGUCGAGUUGCAGACUGCGAUCCGGACUACGACCGGUUUUCUGGGAUUGGCUCCCCCUCGCGGGUUGGCAGCCCUCUGUACCGGCCAUUGUAUGACGUGUGUAGCCCUACCCAUAAGGGCCAUGAGGACCUGACGUCAUCCCCACCUUCCUCCGGUUUGUCACCGGCAGUCUCAUCAGAGUGCCCUUUCGUAGCAACUGAUGACAAGGGUUGCGCUCGUUGCGGACUUACCCACAU
RNAcentral lists this ribosomal RNA (415 nucleotides) under uncultured bacterium. RNAcentral's name for it is "partial 16S ribosomal RNA". The record is from RNAcentral.